Molecule: long non-coding RNA, 1747 nt
Organism: Cryptomeria japonica (Japanese cedar)
Lineage: Eukaryota; Viridiplantae; Streptophyta; Pinopsida; Cupressales; Cupressaceae
Exons: 2
Source: RefSeq, a predicted model, not a curated record
AGAACAAUAUAUAUUUUUUGCUAUACACCAAACACAUUGAAUGAAGGCUUUGAGAUUCUAAACAAAAAAGCCUCAAAUCCAACCGUUGAUUUAUUGGGUAGCUUGGAAAUGUGUGUACAGACAUAACAUGACGAAGGAAUAGUUGCAGAUUGUCCUUUUGAUUCUUUUCUCAUUGGAGACACCAAGCAGAACCAGUUCACAUUUUUAAAUCAAGUGCUCCUGUGAAAUCUAAAAGCAGAUCUAAAAAUCCACUAUCUCCUAAUUAGUCACGUCAUGGGUGCCUUUUUCAUAGUGAACUGACCACUUUUGCAUAAGUGUUUUUCUUUAUAUACACGUGAGCCCCUCUCAGAUUUCUGCAUGGAGGGCCCAUUUUAGUUUCUUUGCAUCCUUUUCUUGUUAUAUAUACAGAUGUGGGGACUAAAGAUAUAAGGAAGGAGAGCAAGGAUUGAGGAGAGAACAAAAAGUUAGAAGAUUGCAGAAGGCAUAUCAUGGCCUCUUUUUAGCUGCUGGUUCAUGGAUUCCACUGGUCUGUCAAUAUGGGUAUGGCAGGAUAAUGGUGUGCAUGACACAGGAGAUGUGAUAUAACUGAUCUGACCUUCCUUGGAUUGAAGGGAGCUCCAAUGAAUCUGAUCUUAUUGGCAACCCUUUUUUAUUUUGUUUCAUUUUCUGCAAGUAUUUUGUUUUGGGUUUUACAUUUUGAUAUUCAUGUAGAUUCUGGAAAGAAAAAGAUGUAGGAGAUCCAAGGUUUGCUAAUAUAUCUGAUACCUAGUGUCAGGAGAUAUCUUCUUGAGGUAUAAACUGAUUACAUAGUUUUUCUAGUAGAAUUCUUGUGUCAUUAGGGUUGUGCUUUAGAUUGAGAUGAUAUGAGAUAUAAGAUUUUGAGGAUCUGAUUCAAUCUUUUGUUUGUUUCAUUCGAUGAAGUAGACUGAUGAUCUUGGUCUAAUCUUUUGUUUGUUUGUUUGUUUCGAUGAAGUUGACCGUUCAUCUGGUUUUAGCCGUUCUUGUUUUAAGAAGGUGACUAUUGUUCUGGUAUUUUUCCCAGUGGCUUGCAUCUGCUGGCUUGGAUAGCAAGUAAUCUAUUUUGGUAUAUCUAAUUUGGCCAUUCAUAAGAAUUUGCUAUCAGUCUUUAUUUAUAAACGUGGCCAUUCAUAAGAAUUUUCUAUUGCUCUUUUUUGUAACAAUUUGCCACAGGUUUUGAAGACUACCAGUAUAAUUUUAUCAGAUUUCCAUUGCUUCUCUGAUUCUCCAUUUGAUUGUGUAUUGUUUCCAUAACACUCUGAAAUUCAUCAUCAAGAUGUUUGAUCCACUUUGGAAUCCAUCAUCAAUAAGAUGUUAGAAUGUGUUUUGAGUGUAUGCAGAUGUUGAAGACUACCAUUUUAUCAUUUGAUAUAUUGAAGCAUUGAUGAUCGAAAGGAUAUUUCCAAGUAAUGAGAAAAUAAGAGGCAAAUGGAAAUCCAAGCAUUCAUAACUGAAGAGAUAUCUGUAACUUAUAAGAAAGUAAUGGGCAGAGGGGCAAAUGAAAUUUGAGCCUUUAAUGAUUGAAAGGAUAUCUCUAGUUUAUGAGGAGGGGCAAUUGAAAUAUCCAGUAAAAGCUCUGAUAGGAUGUUGGACAGCUGUUGGGCUAUAAUUUUUUGUAUUGUAAACCUAAUUUAAAGCAUGAGAUUUUCUUUACAGGCAAUGUAGCAUUGUUGAUAUUGGCUAUUGUAAAGUUCUGGUACUGCAAAUUAUCAUCUUUUCUUGUUCUUUA